GCAUAUCAAUAAGCGGAGGAAAAGAAACCAACAGGGAUUGCCCCAGUAACGGCGAGUGAAGCGGCAACAGCUCAAAUUUGAAAUCUGGCCCCCAGGGUCCGAGUUGUAAUUUGUAGAGGAUGAUUUUGGCGCGGCGCCUUCCGAGUUCCCUGGAACGGGACGCCAUAGAGGGUGAGAGCCCCGUCUGGUUGGAUGCCUAGCCUCUGUAAAUCUCCUUCGACGAGUCGAGUAGUUUGGGAAUGCUGCUCUAAAUGGGAGGUAUAUGUCUUCUAAAGCUAAAUAUUGGCCAGAGACCGAUAGCGCACAAGUAGAGUGAUCGAAAGAUGAAAAGCACUUUGAAAAGAGGGUUAAAUAGUACGUGAAAUUGUUGAAAGGGAAGCGCUUGUGACCAGACUUGGGCCCGGUUAAUCAUCCAGUGUUCUCACUGGUGCACUUUGCCGGCCCAGGCCAGCAUCAGUUCGCCUUGGGGGAUAAAGGUUUCGGGAAUGUGGCUCCCUCGGGAGUGUUAUAGCCCGUUGCGUAAUACCCUGGGGCGGACUGAGGUUCGCGUUCGCAAGGAUGCUGGCGUAAUGGUCAUCAGCGACCCGUCUUGAAACACGGACCAAGGAGUCGUCUUCGUAUGCGAGUGUUCGGGUGUCAAACCCCUACGCGUAAUGAAAGUGAACGCAGGUGAGAGCUUCGGCGCAUCAUCGACCGAUCCUGAUGUUCUCGGAUGGAUUUGAGUAAGAGCAUACGGGGCCGGACCCGAAAGAAGGUGAACUAUGCCUGUAUAGGGUGAAGCCAGAGGAAACUCUGGUGGAGGCUCGCAGCGGUUCUGACGUGCAAAUCGAUCGUCAAAUAUGGGCAUGGGGGGCGAAAGACUAAUCGAACCUUCUAGUAGCUGGGUUUCCGCCGAAGU
Molecule: ribosomal RNA, 898 nt
Filed under: Niesslia exilis
Lineage: Eukaryota; Fungi; Ascomycota; Sordariomycetes; Hypocreales; Niessliaceae
Description: LSU rRNA
Rfam family: Eukaryotic large subunit ribosomal RNA
Source: RNAcentral